GGCUUGAGUCACACAAGUUGGCUCAAUUGCUAGAGGAAUGGGAUGUUUGGAAACCAAAUGAAGUUGCUUGGGUUUAAAGAUGUUGUUCAUGGAACGGGUUGUCAUUUUGUGGAGACGAGGGUUCCCAGUUUGAACACACGAAGGGGGAAUGGAAUGGGACUGAGAUAAAGUAAGAUCAGCAACCGUGUGUGUGUGAGUCGAAUGAAGGGAGGAAGGAAGAACAGGGUCAUGCGAGAUGAGAACAUCCGAAU
RNAcentral lists this long non-coding RNA (251 nucleotides) under Vitis vinifera (wine grape). RNAcentral describes it as "long non-coding RNA (VVIN_LNC003147)". Lineage: Eukaryota; Viridiplantae; Streptophyta; Magnoliopsida; Vitales; Vitaceae. The record is from RNAcentral.